Molecule: long non-coding RNA, 1015 nt
Organism: Melanotaenia boesemani (Boeseman's rainbowfish)
Lineage: Eukaryota; Metazoa; Chordata; Actinopteri; Atheriniformes; Melanotaeniidae
Exons: 3
Source: RefSeq, a predicted model, not a curated record
GUCUCCUCCUCUCUGAGCUGAACUCAUAACUAAUGUUCUUCCUGUCAGUCACUGCAGAGACGAAGACCAAGAUAAAGACAUGAUCAGAAACCUCAGCAGGAUCGUUCUUCUGCUUCUCUGCUUCUCCUAUGUUUCGCUGAGCAACAAAGUCCAUCAGGAUCCACCAUCAAUAUUAAGAAGUCCUCAGGGUUCUGCAGCCAUUCAAUCGCUUCUUUCACCACAACGUUGUGGUACCAGAAGCCGAUGAAUGACUCUGCUCUUAAACUGAUUGGAUACAUCGUGUUAUCCAGCCCAACCCUUCAGGAUGAAUUCAACAAACAUUUCAGUCUGAGUGGAGACGGUUCAAAGAAAUCUGAGCUUCAUGUGCAGAAACUCAACACAGAAGACAGCAGCAUUUAUUACUGUGCAGCUAGCAGCCACAGUGACUCAGUUACUGUCUCAUCUGUACAAAAACCCUCUGAUAAUCCAACACUGAAGAAAAACACACCUGCAUCUAACAAAUCAGCAGAGAUCUCAGCUUUAAAACCUCUUCCUGUGUUAACCCACACAGCAGGAUGCUGUACACAUCCACUGAUGAAAUGUGAUGCCCCGUGAUGCUGAUCCCUCCUCCUCCUUUACAUCCAGGCAGCUCUGUUCAGUCUUCUCAUCAUCAUAGUUUUGUUUUCUUCUGCACUGGGAUCAUGAUCCAACUCUUUGUUCUCUCAGCAGUUCUGCCGCUCUGUUUAACAGAACUCUCUAAAAACAGCGUUUAUCAGACUCCCAUCGCUGUGAUCGAAGAUCCUGGAGAAGAGAUCCAGAUAAACUGCAGCCAUUCAAACAAUAAUUUUGAUCUGAUCCAGUGGUACAAACAGUCUCCUGGGAAAACUGAUAUGGUUCUGAUUGGUUAUGCUCGUUAUGACUCUCCAGUUGUUGAAGAUCCAUUUAAAAGCUACUUUAAUGUGACUGGUCAUGGCAGCAGUCUGUCAUCUCUGGUUAUUCCGAAGCUGAGACAGUCUGUGGACAGCGGUGUGUAUUU